RNAcentral lists this transfer RNA (58 nucleotides) under Corythalia opima. RNAcentral describes it as "tRNA-Tyr". The record is from RNAcentral. Lineage: Eukaryota; Metazoa; Arthropoda; Arachnida; Araneae; Salticidae.
ACUAAUAAAUCAUUUAGAUGGUGAACUGUAAAUUCACAUUAGAUACCUCCUUUAACUU